GUAGUCUGCAACUCGACUACAUGAAGCUGGAAUCGCUAGUAAUCGCAGAUCAGAAUGCUGCGGUGAAUACGUUCCCGGGCCUUGUACACACCGCCCGUCACACCAUGAGAGUCGGGAACACCCGAAGUCCGUAGCCUAACCGCAAGGGGGGCGCGGCCGAAGGUGGGUUCGAUAAUUGGGGUGAAGUCGUAACAAGGUACC
RNAcentral lists this ribosomal RNA (201 nucleotides) under uncultured bacterium. Its description in RNAcentral is "partial 16S ribosomal RNA". It matches the Rfam family "Bacterial small subunit ribosomal RNA", at positions 1300 to 1500 of the family's 1533-position model. The record is from RNAcentral.